This 540-nucleotide ribosomal RNA is filed under the name Mycolicibacterium gilvum. RNAcentral's name for it is "bacterial SSU rRNA". It matches the Rfam family "Bacterial small subunit ribosomal RNA", at positions 44 to 601 of the family's 1533-position model. Lineage: Bacteria; Bacillati; Actinomycetota; Actinomycetes; Mycobacteriales; Mycobacteriaceae. The record is from RNAcentral.
GUGCUUAACACAUGCAAGUCGAACGGAAAGGCCCUUCGGGGUACUCGAGUGGCGAACGGGUGAGUAACACGUGGGUGAUCUGCCCUGCACUUUGGGAUAAGCCUGGGAAACUGGGUCUAAUACCGAAUAGGACCGCAUGCUUCAUGGUGUGUGGUGGAAAGCUUUUGCGGUGUGGGAUGGGCCCGCGGCCUAUCAGCUUGUUGGUGAGGUAAUGGCUUACCAAGGCGACGACGGGUAGCCGGCCUGAGAGGGUGACCGGCCACACUGGGACUGAGAUACGGCCCAGACUCCUACGGGAGGCAGCAGUGGGGAAUAUUGCACAAUGGGCGCAAGCCUGAUGCAGCGACGCCGCGUGAGGGAUGACGGCCUUCGGGUUGUAAACCUCUUUCGCCAGGGACGAAGCGCAAGUGACGGUACCUGGAGAAGAAGGACCGGCCAACUACGUGCCAGCAGCCGCGGUAAUACGUAGGGUCCGAGCGUUGUCCGGAAUUACUGGGCGUAAAGAGCUCGUAGGUGGUUUGUCGCGUUGUUCGUGAAAUC